RNAcentral lists this ribosomal RNA (455 nucleotides) under uncultured Bacteroidota bacterium. RNAcentral's name for it is "bacterial SSU rRNA". It matches the Rfam family "Bacterial small subunit ribosomal RNA", at positions 340 to 793 of the family's 1533-position model. The record is from RNAcentral. Lineage: Bacteria; Pseudomonadati; Bacteroidota.
UACGGGAGGCAGCAGUAAGGAAUAUUGGUCAAUGGACGCAAGUCUGAACCAGCCAUGCCGCGUGAAGGAUGAAGGUCCUCUGGAUUGUAAACUUCUUUUAUCUGGGACGAAACCUCUUUUUCUAAAGAGACUGACGGUACCAGAGGAAUAAGCACCGGCUAACUCCGUGCCAGCAGCCGCGGUAAUACGGAGGGUGCAAGCGUUAUCCGGAUUCACUGGGUUUAAAGGGAGCGUAGGAGGGCAGGUAAGUCAGUGGUGAAAUCUUCGAGCUUAACUCGGAAACUGCCGUUGAUACUAUCUGUCUUGAAUACCGUGGAGAUGAGCGGAAUAUGUCAUGUAGCGGUGAAAUGCUUAGAUAUGACAUAGAACACCAAUUGCGAAGGCAGCUCGUUACACGAAUAUUGACUCUGAGGCUCGAAAGCGUGGGGAUCAAACAGGAUUAGAUACCCUGGUAG